GGAUUGACACAUUGGUCGUGCCUUAAGGGGUAUGAACUGGUGUAGUCAAUUUCUCACCUUCUGGAGAACCACGAUGCCCUUAAUUGGGUGUCGCGGGGAACCAGGACCUUUACUUUGAAAAGAUUAGAGUGUUUAAAGCAGGCAUUUUGCUUGAAUACAUUAGCAUGGAAUAAUAAAAUAGGACGGCAUGAUUCUAUUUUGUUGGUUUCUAGGAUCACCGUA
RNAcentral lists this ribosomal RNA (222 nucleotides) under Entrophospora claroidea. Its description in RNAcentral is "partial 18S ribosomal RNA". It matches the Rfam family "Eukaryotic small subunit ribosomal RNA", at positions 643 to 864 of the family's 1831-position model. Lineage: Eukaryota; Fungi; Glomeromycota; Glomeromycetes; Entrophosporales; Entrophosporaceae. The record is from RNAcentral.